RNAcentral lists this ribosomal RNA (654 nucleotides) under Rhodococcus erythropolis. Its description in RNAcentral is "bacterial SSU rRNA". It matches the Rfam family "Bacterial small subunit ribosomal RNA", at positions 56 to 728 of the family's 1533-position model. The record is from RNAcentral. Lineage: Bacteria; Bacillati; Actinomycetota; Actinomycetes; Mycobacteriales; Nocardiaceae.
UGCAGUCGAGCGGUAGGCCUUUCGGGGUACACGAGCGGCGAACGGGUGAGUAACACGUGGGUGAUCUGCCCUGCACUUCGGGAUAAGCCUGGGAAACUGGGUCUAAUACCGGAUAUGACCUCAGGUUGCAUGACUUGGGGUGGAAAGAUUUAUCGGUGCAGGAUGGGCCCGCGGCCUAUCAGCUUGUUGGUGGGGUAAUGGCCUACCAAGGCGACGACGGGUAGCCGACCUGAGAGGGUGACCGGCCACACUGGGACUGAGACACGGCCCAGACUCCUACGGGAGGCAGCAGUGGGGAAUAUUGCACAAUGGGCGAAAGCCUGAUGCAGCGACGCCGCGUGAGGGAUGACGGCCUUCGGGUUGUAAACCUCUUUCAGCAGGGACGAAGCGCAAGUGACGGUACCUGCAGAAGAAGCACCGGCUAACUACGUGCCAGCAGCCGCGGUAAUACGUAGGGUGCAAGCGUUGUCCGGAAUUACUGGGCGUAAAGAGUUCGUAGGCGGUUUGUCGCGUCGUUUGUGAAAACCAGCAGCUCAACUGCUGGCUUGCAGGCGAUACGGGCAGACUUGAGUACUGCAGGGGAGACUGGAAUUCCUGGUGUAGCGGUGAAAUGCGCAAAUAUCGGGAGGAACACCGGUGGCGAAAGGCGGGUCU